RNAcentral lists this ribosomal RNA (215 nucleotides) under uncultured bacterium. RNAcentral describes it as "partial 16S ribosomal RNA". It matches the Rfam family "Bacterial small subunit ribosomal RNA", at positions 1286 to 1500 of the family's 1533-position model. The record is from RNAcentral.
UCUCAGUUCGGAUUGUAGUCUGCAACUCGACUACAUGAAGCUGGAAUCGCUAGUAAUCGCGAAUCAGAAUGUCGCGGUGAAUACGUUCCCGGGUCUUGUACACACCGCCCGUCACACCAUGGGAGCCGGAAACGCCCGAAGCCAGCGGCCCAACCGCAAGGAGGGAGCUGUCGAAGGCGGGGCCGGUGACCGGGGUGAAGUCGUAACAAGGUAUC